GGCCAAUGUCCAAAAGAAUGAAACCAGCUUGCUGGUUGGAUUAGUGGCGAACGGGUGAGUAACCUCCGAAAAAACCUGCCCUUGACUCUGGGAUAAGCCUGGGAAACUGCGGUCUAAUACCGGAUAUGACCGACUAUCGCAUGGUGGUUGGUGGAAAGCUUUUGUGGUUUUGGAUGGACUCGCGGCCUAUCAGCUUGUUGGUGAGGUAAUGGCUUACCAAGGCGACGACGGGUAGCCGGCCUGAGAGGGUGACCGGCCACACUGGGACUGAGACACGGCCCAGACUCCUACGGGAGGCAGCAGUGGGGAAUAUUGCACAAUGGGCGCAAGCCUGAUGCAGCGACGCCGCGUGAGGGAUGACGGCCUUCGGGUUGUAAACCUCUUUCAGUAGGGAAGAAGCCUUUCGGGGUGACGGUACCUGCAGAAGAAGCGCCGGCUAACUACGUGCCAGCAGCCGCGG
RNAcentral lists this ribosomal RNA (460 nucleotides) under uncultured Arthrobacter sp. RNAcentral describes it as "bacterial SSU rRNA". It matches the Rfam family "Bacterial small subunit ribosomal RNA", at positions 56 to 520 of the family's 1533-position model. The record is from RNAcentral. Lineage: Bacteria; Bacillati; Actinomycetota; Actinomycetes; Micrococcales; Micrococcaceae.